Molecule: long non-coding RNA, 646 nt
Filed under: Setaria italica (foxtail millet)
Lineage: Eukaryota; Viridiplantae; Streptophyta; Magnoliopsida; Poales; Poaceae
Description: long non-coding RNA (SITA_LNC004162)
Source: RNAcentral
GCGCCCAACCCAGCGGGCACAGGCAGAAGAUGGCGCGCUGCAUGUCCUCGUAGUACGUCGACGGGUGCUCCGUCGAGAUGUCGAACAGCGGGUUGUCCUUGAAGUUCUCCCACACCGACGCGCGCGCGCCCCUGCAUCAUCAGGUAAGGCCAUGGUCAAUCACGUUAUCUACAAGCAGCUUAACUAUUUGCAUCAAUGUUGGAACGGCAAGAAAUUAAGCAUGAAAAAACGUGGAUUACCUGGCGUAGUAGCCGCCCUCGGGGUCGUUGCCCAUGUCGUAGAAGAGGCCGCGGAAGUAGACGAAGAUGGAGCGCGGCGUGCCGGGGUUGAUCAGGUGCGCCUGCAUCUUGUGCGGGUUGGCGUAGGGCGGGAUGGUGAUGGACCCGUCCUGCAGGCACACGUGGUUCCGCUGCCCGAACGUCUGCACCAGCGUCGCGCGCCGGAGCAGCGGCAGGAUGCCCCUCUCCAUCGCCCUCUCCUCCUGAAACCACAAGCCAAGUGCCAAUCAGUUCACUAUUUCUUUUCAGCUCUGCAGCCUGUCUCCGGCAACGCACACACACCUGGUAGUGGAAGCAUGCGCCGAAGUCGUGGGGCGUGAGGAAGAAGUGGUCGGCGCCCUCGGUCCUGUUCCAGUAGGGCCACGUCG